This 668-nucleotide ribosomal RNA is filed under the name uncultured equine intestinal eubacterium sp. DL08. RNAcentral's name for it is "bacterial SSU rRNA". It matches the Rfam family "Bacterial small subunit ribosomal RNA", at positions 797 to 1482 of the family's 1533-position model. The record is from RNAcentral.
GCACAGUAAACGAUGAAUACUUGUUCUUGGCGAUACAGUGUCAGGGGCAAAGCGAAAGCGAUAAGUAUUCCACCUGGGGAGUACGCCGGCAACGGUGAAACUCAAAGGAAUUGACGGGGGCCCGCACAAGCGGAGGAACAUGUGGUUUAAUUCGAUGCUACGCGAGGAACCUUACCCGGGCUUGAAAGUUACCGACGGCCGCCGAAAAGCGGCUUCUCUUCGGAGCGGGAAACUAGGUGCUGCAUGGUUGUCGUCAGCUCGUGCCGUGAGGUGUCGGCUUAAGUGCCAUAACGAGCGCAACCCUUUCCGGUAGUUACCAUCAUUCAGUUGGGGACUCUACCGGCACUGCCAUCGUAAGAUGUGAGGAAGGAUGGGAUGACGUCAAAUCAGCACGGCCCUUACGUCCGGGGCGACACACGUGUUACAAUGGUCAGGACAGAAAGCAGCAAUGUGGUGACACAAAGCGAAUCUCGAAACCUGAUCCCAGUUCGGAUUGGAGUCUGCAACCCGACUCCAUGAAGCUGGAUUCGCUAGUAAUCGCGCAUCAGCCAUGGCGCGGUGAAUACGUUCCCGGGCCUUGUACACACCGCCCGUCAAGCCAUGAAAGCCGGGGGUACCUGAAGCCUGGUGUAAAAAGCCGGUCUAGGGUAAAACUGGUAAUUGGGGCU